CAUUACCUACGUGUAGGUAUUUGCCGGUACUUCAGGAAUAAGGAUCGGCUAACUCCGUGCCAGCAGCCGCGGUAAUACGGAGGAUCCGAGCGUUAUCCGGAUUUAUUGGGUUUAAAGGGUGCGUAGGCGGUAUAAUAAGUCAGUGGUGAAAGUCUGUGACUCAACCAUAGAAGUGCCAUUGAAACUGUUAUACUUGAGUAUAGAUGAGGUAUGCGGAAUGUGUAAUGUAGCGGUGAAAUGCUUAGAUAUUACACAGAACACCGAUUGCGAAGGCAGCAUACUAAGCUAUAACUGACGCUGAUGCACGAAAGCGUGGGUAGCGAACAGGAUUAGAUACCCUGGUAGUCCACGCCGUAAACGAUGAUCACUCGUUGUUGGCGACAUAAAGUCAGUGACUGAGCGAAAGCAUUAAGUGAUCCACCUGGGGAGUACGUUGGCAACGAUGARACUCAAAGGAAUUGACGGGGGCCCGCACAAGCGGAGGAACAUGUGGUUUAAUUCGAUGAUACGCGAGGAACCUUACCCGA
RNAcentral lists this ribosomal RNA (527 nucleotides) under uncultured Bacteroidota bacterium. Its description in RNAcentral is "bacterial SSU rRNA". It matches the Rfam family "Bacterial small subunit ribosomal RNA", at positions 450 to 978 of the family's 1533-position model. Lineage: Bacteria; Pseudomonadati; Bacteroidota. The record is from RNAcentral.